UACGUAGGGUGCAAGCGUUAAUCGGAAUUACUGGGCGUAAAGCGUGCGCAGGCGGUUGUGCAAGACCGAUGUGAAAUCCCCGGGCUUAACCUGGGAAUGGCAUUGGUGACUGCACGGCUAGAGUGUGUCAGAGGGGGGUAGAAUUCCACGUGUAGCAGUGAAAUGCGUAGAGAUGUGGAGGAACACCGGUGGCGAAGGCGGCAUUCUGGACUGUAACUGACACUGAGGAACGAAAGCCAGGGGAGCAAACGGG
This 253-nucleotide ribosomal RNA is filed under the name uncultured bacterium. Its description in RNAcentral is "partial 16S ribosomal RNA". It matches the Rfam family "Bacterial small subunit ribosomal RNA", at positions 524 to 776 of the family's 1533-position model. The record is from RNAcentral.